Drosophila virilis is the source of this 2550-nucleotide non-coding RNA. Lineage: Eukaryota; Metazoa; Arthropoda; Insecta; Diptera; Drosophilidae. The record is from RefSeq and is a predicted model, not a curated record.
UGGUUGAAACGAAUACCACAUAUAACAUCAUCAUGACGUUCGAACGGGCAAGUGUUUGUUGUUGUCUAACCGAAUGCCAUGGAAAUGCGUACAUGAGUUAUGUUCGAGUCGAGUAGCCGCGUAUUCGAUUUAGUUGCGUUGCGCUUCAAAUGUGUGGAAAAACAACAAACAAACAUUUCCUACGAUAGCCGUGGAUUUUGUGUUAUUUUCGGGGGCAAGCCAAAGUAAAGCUAUGUUAGCUGUGUUGUUUUCUCAUGAGUACAAACAUUUAAAUGAGUACAAACAUUUAAAUGAGUACAAACAUUUUGAUGAAAUAAAACCCGAAAUUUUAAUACUUUCUAACUUUACUCGCAAAAUUCACACACCUUGUGCAAAAAUCUCUGGACAGUGGAACGCAUUGCAACAGGUUCCUUUUGGCCUGCAGGCACAAAAUAAAAGCGCAAGCAUAAUAAUUAUACUGGCCAAGAGACCGACUACCACACAGUGCGCAACCACAAUAAAGUUAAGAGAAACAGGAAAUUUUUGUACGAUAACUUGUAAGACAUUUCAUAACCUGACAUAAAUCGUAAAUAUGACGAACGCACAAAGAAAAGGAGUCAAUAAACAACAAAAAAAAAAACAACAAAACAAAGCGGAAUAAGCUACUUAUAAGGGGUGUGGCAAACAGCUGAUGGCACAAAGUGAAAACUGAAGUAACCAGCGAACUGGACAUUGUCUAGCGAACACCCUUUUGGCUAGCUGGGGCAUUGUACCUCCUGUUACUCCCAUACUCCGAAAGGGGCCCCGCGUACAGCAAUUUAGUGAAAAUGAAACUUGCAACUCGCGCUUGUUGUUGAUGUGUCUUAUGGCUCGAAUGUGUGGCAGGCAGCGUGAUAAAUGCGGUUAUAAAAACCUGCAAUCAAGCGGCUUACCAAACGAAAGUGAAACAAAAGUGCCGACAAACCAACUCAACCAACAACCAACCGACUAAACAACCAACAACCGACCAAACAACAACAAUCCGAACUGAGCCGAGCAUCGGGCGAAAAACUUGCAAUUUCCAUUUUAAUACUCAACAACUUUCGGCUAGAGGCAGGCCAAAGGAAUCUCGAAUCGCGAGUCGUUUCCACAAUCACAGCGAAACAUGAAGUGGAUGCCAUAUUGCGGCACAGCCGCAGACUCCGCUGAAUGGAAUAACAAAGCGCUGAGACGCCCCUGAGAUUAAAACGAGCCACAAUCCCAGACACACCACACAAGAGUUACCCACCCUUUCAGCCCUCGCUGCGAGGCGCUGUAUCUUCGUUGUCUGAUGGAUCGUAUAGUCUGGGCUUGAUUGGCGCUACCAAGGAGCACAGCGUCGAGCCACAGCGGCGGGCGGAGCUCUGUUGGUAAAGCUGAUAGCUCAGCUUUUUGGAGGCCGUUCCUCUUAAAAUCAAGAUGUUCGACACCUGCUUGACCUGGCUGCGCAUUUGAUGGAUGGCACAGUCCCAGACUUGAGUGAGACCUCUGCAAGAGUCAAGCAACUGCCAAGCGCAAACAUAUUGGUGUGAAAUUAUUUGUUUUGCGAACUCAAAGAUCUCUCUUUGAGCGGGAGUCUCGAGUCGAAGAGUUCAAUGGACGUGGCGCGUACACACAGAAGGGUCUUUUAUAUCUUCAUUUUUAUGGACAGUUAAACAAUUAUAUUUGGUAUUUACAGCCAGUUGACUGGGCAGGCAGGUGAAAUGCCUGCAUGAGGCAGAUUUAAAGAUGAUGCAAUGCAACAGUCGAGAGGGGGAGGAAGGGGGCAAGUGGAAAGGCAGCAUGGUGGGUACCAACUGCAAUGCCAGGAGCAAACGAGCUGGGCCUUGCCACUUUCGUUUUUCGUCUUGGGCAUUCGCAACUUUCCAAAUAUCAGAGCUAACUAUUUAUUGGCGUUGCUGCUUCUGGCCGGUCACGUAGUUUUAUGCGGCCAAGCUGACCAUUAAAAAAUUCUCGGGACCACACCUCCGCACAGCCGACAAUUAAUUUAUGAGGUCUGUCCCGGGCUCGGCAUAAAUCACAAGGGAAUACUGCAGUCGCAAUUCUCGCCAAGCGUCGUGCAUGAAUUUAAUCAAAAUUUUCAUAAGUCGCAAUGCAAUAUGCACCCAUGCCCAGCGCCUAAAUAUAGCUCCCAGCUGACGUCAAAUGCUUCCCCGGAUAGCCAGAUGCAAUCUAAGCCGCCGGCACGCAUCGACAGCUCAGCCGUCAUGCCAGCCAUGUUGAGCAUCAGGUUUUAAAUGCUGUCAUGCUUCCGAUUACAGCUGGCGAGAUUUGCGGCAUAAUCCGUACACAAUUGAAUCAAAUUUUUAGUUUAGAGAGCAUGAUUUUUGACCGAAUAAUGGUAUAAUGAACUUACAUUGCAAUUACAAUCGAUCGAAAAUAAAAUUUCAUAUCCUUGUUCUUAAAUAUAUUGCAAAAAUCAGCCUAAAGGACAAACUAUUUAGCCUAAUUACACUGUCAACAUUUGUGUGAAGUAAAGAAGUGAAUCUGAAGUUUGUAAUUGUAACAUAUUUUGAGCAAAGUGGAGCUAGGCAAUAAAUUAAAUCAAACCGA